CCUACGGGUGGCAGCAGUGAGGAAUAUUGGUCAAUGGACGAGAGUCUGAACCAGCCAAGUAGCGUGAAGGAUGACUGCCCUAUGGGUUGUAAACUUCUUUUAUAUGGGAAUAAAAUGUUCCACGUGUGGGAUUUUGUAUGUACCAUAUGAAUAAGGAUCGGCUAACUCCGUGCCAGCAGCCGCGGUAAUACGGAGCAGCCGAGCGUUAUCCGGAUUUAUUGGGUUUAAAGGGAGCGUAGGUGGAUUGUUAAGUCAGUUGUGAAAGUUUGCGGCUCAACCGUAAAAUUGCAGUUGAAACUGGCAGUCUUGAGUACAGUAGAGGUGGGCGGAAUUCGUGGUGUAGCGGUGAAAUGCUUAGAUAUCACGAAGAACUCCGAUUGCGAAGGCAGUUCACUGGACUGCAACUGACACUGAGGCUCGAAAGUGUGGGUAUCAAACAGGAUUAGAUACCCGGGUAGUC
RNAcentral lists this ribosomal RNA (460 nucleotides) under uncultured bacterium. RNAcentral's name for it is "partial 16S ribosomal RNA". It matches the Rfam family "Bacterial small subunit ribosomal RNA", at positions 338 to 795 of the family's 1533-position model. The record is from RNAcentral.